RNA transcript from Sphaerodactylus townsendi, 2782 nucleotides. It is a transcript of the gene named splA/ryanodine receptor domain and SOCS box containing 3, with no coding region annotated. NCBI's taxonomy places the organism in Eukaryota, Metazoa, Chordata, Lepidosauria, Squamata, Sphaerodactylidae. The transcript is spliced from 5 exons. The record is from RefSeq and is a predicted model, not a curated record.
UGGCAUCUCUUUUCCUGCACCUUGAACCCAUGACUCCGUGUCCCAGUCUGCGAGGCAGCAGAAAACAUGGGUGGGUUGCAUCUGCCUCGUUUUGAUGUGUGGCUGUUUGUUGUCCUGCAGGGCUCCUCCACCACAAAGGUGACAGAGUCAAUUUCUCCACGCGGUUUGGACAAGGCUCCAUUAUCGGGGUGCAUCUGGAUACCUGGCACGGGACUCUGACUUUCUUCAAAAACAGGAAGUGCAUUGGAGUUGCUGCCACAAAGCUACAGGACAAGGGAUUCUACCCCAUGGUGUGUUCUACGGCUGCCAAGAGCAGCAUGAAAGUGAUCCGGUCCUGUGCCAGCCACACCUCCUUGCAGUACCUGUGCUGCCACCGCCUCCGCCAGCUGCUCCCAGAUUCCACAGACACACUCGAGGCCUAGCCUCUCCCUCCGGGACUGAAGCAAGUCCUGCAGAACAAACUGGGUUGGGUGCUGAACAUGAACUGUGGCUUGGCGUCUCCCUCUUCCUCCCCCUGGCCGAGUAGCGAGUCAGAGAGCUCGUGCGGUUCAGAAGCUGAGGUGUGCCGGCACAAGCGAUGCCGGAGGACGUAGGUGCCGGGUUCCCGAAAGACCUGCCGGGCAAAGGAUCUGCCUUCAGGCCAGUCGAAGCUGGCAUUUCUCCGGAAAAGGGCCAGGGUUUCAGAGUGAAGCGUCUGGGUGCCCUUUUGGUGAAGUGGACGACCAAGCCCUGUCCCGUCUGGGAAGAAACAUGGGACUCUUGCCGGCCAGGGUAUUGGACUGCCAUCAGCCACGGAGGAUGCGUGCCAUUGGGGUGGAGGGAAGGAAUCUUGAAGGCGUGAGAGACCAAGGAGACCUGUGUGACCUUUGUGAACAUGUCUCCAGGGCGUUGACACUGAGCUGUCCACACUGUCGCUGCUCAGUGAAGUGUCCAGUGAAAGCAAUCUCUCACGAGUUGUCUUGACUGUGGAAGUUGUACCUUGCAUGCAUGUAACCGCUGUGUCUCUUGUGUUAACCUGUAUGACACAGAGACCACUCAGCCUCUGAUUAAAGCUGACAGUGUGCAGGCCGUGUUCAGGGGUGUUAUUCCUCCGCCGGGGUGGGUGGUGGAAAGGGGAGCAGUUGUCUCCAGACUUCGUGCUGAGGGCACCUGUGAAGGAGGUGGGGGUGGUGUUUACCCUCCUGAGCGCUGAAGAAAUGGUAAGAAGGGGAGGGGGCGUAAAUCCAAAUUCUGCUAUUCCUCUGAUGUUGCAGUCGCAGUGUGGCGUACUGAAAGAAUGGCCAGUGGGCAUUAUUAUUAUUAUUUAUUAAAUGUAAUAGACCACCCGACCCCCGAAAGGCUCAGGGGCAGCGUGCAAUAAACCAACAAGGAGACGGUGGUACAACGUAAUAUAAGCAAUGUAAAUCUGAAGGUGCGCUGGAGGAGCCAAUUUCCCCCGUGAGGUGCCCGCCCUUGUGGAGGGUGGUUUGUGGCCCUGUCAAAUGUGAGGAGGGAGGUGGUUUGGGGGAUGAUGCCCUGCUGGAUGCCCUCGUGCCAGGGAGGGGAAUGGGAUCAGGUGGGCCCAGGAGGGCUGACCUGUUGUUGACCCCGCAGUGUCGAAUCAGGGAGAGGAGGCGGUCUGGUGACUCCCGCAGCUGUUGGGGAUCCUGCAGAUGUCACUUGAGGGUCGUGUGCAAUAAGCGGCCGGGCCCGCAGUUGUCUCGGGGGCGGCCCAGGCAGCCGGUUCCUGCGGCGAGUCGUCCGGGCCGAGGCAGGGGAGCGGCGGCGGCAAGGAGCGGGGCCUGAGUCGACGGGCGGCGCCUGGUGGCUGUGCUGCGGGAGAGGCCGGAGGGCUGGUUCCUCAAUGGUGGGAGAAUCCCGGAUGUUCCUCUGGAACAGGGGUCAGCAACCUUUACCACCCAAAGAGCCAUUUGGACCCGUUUUCCACAGCCCGAAGAUCUACCGAGGCGGGAGGCGGCUUCCUCCAGUUUGCCCCUCCCUCACCUUUCCUGGAGGAGACACCCAGUUUGGCCCCUCCGACCUCCAGGCCACGGGAGACCACUGAGUAUAGGGUGAAAGCCGCAUGCGGCUCCAGAGCUGCGGGUUGCAGACCUCUGCUCUAGAAGGCCUCCUUAGUCAGUCGGCUGCUGACUGAGCGUGUCUGACAUCUGAGAUCUGACAUCUGAGCGUGUCUGACAAGGUGAAUGAAGGUGUGCCUCUUGCUCAGGUGUGGGUGAGGGGGAACAUCUUGUGGCAGUGAUUGUGGGAUGUGUAGAGAUAUGACUCGGCAGUUGCAUGUGCUCAAGUUAGAAGGCUCUGGGUUGUGAUAUGGUCCUUGGGGUGAAAGCAAACGGGGGAUGUUGUGUAAGAGGAACUGGAGAAGGAUAUGUUGGUGGGGGUGCAAAAUUUAACUAUAAAUUGCCUCUAAGAGUUAUAUUUGUUGAGCUUCUAUUUUCAUACAAUAAGUUUACUUCAUAUAUGUAUUAUUAAUCUUUAGUUUAACAUAGUCACAUCGCAAAAUUAAUACAUAUAUUCAACUAUAUUUGUUAUUCCAGCAUGUUUAAAUUAUAAUUAAUUUAAUUAAUUUAAUUAGUGGAGAUUUGAACCAAAACGGUAAAUUUUGAUUUCAGUAUUUCCUUUACACUUUACUGUUUUUAAUUAUAUCUUUGUUUCAAAUUUUUUUACAGUAUUGAUUAAAUGGUUCCCACAUCAUUUCAAAUCUUCUUUUUUGGCAGAUCCUUCUGAUAUGUCGAUAUUCUGUCCGUGGUUCUAGUCUUCCAAUAAACUGAUCCAGUCCUUGCAA